RNAcentral lists this ribosomal RNA (509 nucleotides) under Mesorhizobium sp. BHURC02. Its description in RNAcentral is "bacterial SSU rRNA". It matches the Rfam family "Bacterial small subunit ribosomal RNA", at positions 94 to 641 of the family's 1533-position model. Lineage: Bacteria; Pseudomonadati; Pseudomonadota; Alphaproteobacteria; Hyphomicrobiales; Phyllobacteriaceae. The record is from RNAcentral.
AGCGGCAGACGGGUGAGUAACGCGUGGGAAUCUACCCAUCUCUACGGAACAACUCCGGGAAACUGGAGCUAAUACCGUAUACGUCCUUUUGGAGAAAGAUUUAUCGGAGAUGGAUGAGCCCGCGUUGGAUUAGCUAGUUGGUGGGGUAAUGGCCUACCAAGGCGACGAUCCAUAGCUGGUCUGAGAGGAUGAUCAGCCACACUGGGACUGAGACACGGCCCAGACUCCUACGGGAGGCAGCAGUGGGGAAUAUUGGACAAUGGGCGAAAGCCUGAUCCAGCCAUGCCGCGUGAGUGAUGAAGGCCCUAGGGUUGUAAAGCUCUUUCAACGGUGAAGAUAAUGACGGUAACCGUAGAAGAAGCCCCGGCUAACUUCGUGCCAGCAGCCGCGGUAAUACGAAGGGGGCUAGCGUUGUUCGGAAUUACUGGGCGUAAAGCGCACGUAGGCGGAUACUUAAGUCAGGGUGAAUCCCGGGGCUCACCCCGGAACUGCCUUUGAUACUGGGUAUC